GUGCCAGCAGCCGCAGUAAUACAUAGGGGUCAAGCGUUGUCCGGAUUUAUUGGGCGUAAAGAGCCCGUAGGCGGCUCAACAAGUCGGUCGUAAAAGUUUAGGGCUCAACCCUAAAAUGUCGAUCGAUACUGUUGUGACUAGGAUACGGUAGAGGUGAAUGGAAUUCCGAGUGUAGCGGUGAAAUGCGUAGAUAUUCGGAGGAACACCAAUUGCGAAGGCAGUUCACUGGACCGUGAUCGACACUGAGGAACGAAAGCAUGGGUAGCGAAGAGGAUUAGAUA
RNAcentral lists this ribosomal RNA (281 nucleotides) under uncultured bacterium. RNAcentral describes it as "partial 16S ribosomal RNA". It matches the Rfam family "Bacterial small subunit ribosomal RNA", at positions 505 to 784 of the family's 1533-position model. The record is from RNAcentral.